This 71-nucleotide small nucleolar RNA is filed under the name Neotoma lepida (desert woodrat). The record is from RNAcentral. Lineage: Eukaryota; Metazoa; Chordata; Mammalia; Rodentia; Cricetidae.
UGAGUAUAGGGCAGUGCUGUAGACUCCUGCUUGUGUGGUGAGAAAGCCAACCUUGGAGAGCUGGGUAUACA